Molossus molossus (Pallas's mastiff bat) is the source of this 656-nucleotide long non-coding RNA. RefSeq lists it as uncharacterized. The transcript is spliced from 4 exons. The record is from RefSeq and is a predicted model, not a curated record. NCBI's taxonomy places the organism in Eukaryota, Metazoa, Chordata, Mammalia, Chiroptera, Molossidae.
CCCAGCUCCUAGCCUCUCCUGAUGCACCCAAGUGCAGGUUGGAGGAGCCCAGUUCGAGGAGUCAGACUAGGCAGGACCCUAUUCUGGCUCUGCUCUAAUUCACUGCCUGACCCCAGGAGCUGGGAAUCAAAGAGUAAAGUGAGGUCUCCUGACUGUUAACUGAUGGCAACUGGUUAAAAACACAAGUAUGUGUGUCUGCCCCAGUGCUUAGGGGCAGAGAGAAGAUCCGGCAAACUCAACAGUCGAUGGGCCCAGAUGAGGUUCAGAACAAGAACACAGCUUUGGAGUCAACAGGCCCAGCUCAGCUGAUGACUUUGCUGUGUCAUCCGGGGACUCACCUAACCUCUCCGAGCCACAGCUUUGGAUGUCCCUUAUGCCCCCAGCACCAACACUGACCUGUUUGUGUCCCUGAAGUUCUGCCUUGUCCAGAAUGGCACACAGGUGCAAUCUCACCGAAUGCUGUCUCUCUAGUCUGGCUGCUUGGACUUGGCAUAAUGCAUUUGAGACUCACUGUGCUGAAGCCUGUAUACGAACCUCUUUCCUUCUUUGUGGCCGAGUAGUAUUCCACCGGUCAGUGUUAGCUUUUCCAUUCUCAAAUUGACGGACUCUAGAGUUUUUUGUUUCAGUUAUGAGGAAUAUGUCUAUAACUAUUUGCA